CACGCAGGCGGUUUCUUAAGUCCUUUGUGAAAGCCCGGGGCUCAACUCCGGAACUGCAGAGGAUACUGGAUGUCUUGAAUUAGUGUGAAGUGGUUAGAAUGUGUAGUGUAGCGGUGAAAUGCAUAGAUAUUACACAGAAUACCAAUUGCGAAGGCAGAUCACUAACACUAUAUUGACGCUGAGGGACGAAAGCGUGGGGAGCGAACAGGAUUAGAUACCCUGGUAGUCC
Molecule: ribosomal RNA, 229 nt
Filed under: uncultured bacterium
Lineage: Bacteria
Description: partial 16S ribosomal RNA
Rfam family: Bacterial small subunit ribosomal RNA
Source: RNAcentral